AAACCAUGAUGUGGACAUUCCCUAAUGUAGCCUUUAUAACGAUCCCAAGCUUCAUGAAAAGGUUCGCCUCCUUUUUGUUGGAACCUAAAGAAGUUUGAUCUAGAGGU
RNAcentral lists this small nucleolar RNA (107 nucleotides) under Eutrema salsugineum. RNAcentral's name for it is "Plant small nucleolar RNA R71". It matches the Rfam family "Plant small nucleolar RNA R71". Rfam says of the family: R71 is a member of the C/D box family of snoRNAs containing the C (UGAUGA) and D (CUGA) box motifs. Multiple nearly identical copies of this snoRNA have been identified in Arabidopsis, and it is thought to function as a 2'-O-ribose methylation guide for 18S ribosomal RNA. The record is from Rfam by way of RNAcentral. Lineage: Eukaryota; Viridiplantae; Streptophyta; Magnoliopsida; Brassicales; Brassicaceae.